RNAcentral lists this long non-coding RNA (121 nucleotides) under Callithrix jacchus (white-tufted-ear marmoset). Its description in RNAcentral is "lncRNA (ENSCJAG00000071729.1)". The record is from RNAcentral. Lineage: Eukaryota; Metazoa; Chordata; Mammalia; Primates; Cebidae.
GGACUUCUUCUGUGCAAACAAGAGGGAGGCUCUUGUUCUGUCACCCAGGCUGGAAUGUAGUGGGAACUGCCACACCCCUACAACACUUUAGAUCAAAAAAUUUUGAAAGAAAUGUGGAUCU